Molecule: long non-coding RNA, 595 nt
Filed under: Papio anubis (olive baboon)
Lineage: Eukaryota; Metazoa; Chordata; Mammalia; Primates; Cercopithecidae
Description: lncRNA (ENSPANG00000048043.1)
Source: RNAcentral
UCCCUGGAAUUAGCCAAAAUCAACAAGAAGCCAAAGGACAGGAGAACUUCUUGAUGCAGUACAUAGACAUCAGCUUCCCAUGUCACCAAGCCGAAUGGUAAAGAAGUAACCUGGAUCUAAAGGAACACAAGGAACAGAUUCAGCAUCCCAGGGUUAUUUCGUCUCAGGACCAAAGGCAGGUGCUAGGAGGUGCCUUGAUUGCUUAUUGGUAUAACAGAUGUCAAUUCCCCUUGUCCCAGGAUGGAGUCUGCCUGAUUUUUCCAAGUCAUGAGGAAAUGGGGAAGGGAGACAUCUAGAAAUGUCACUAAAGACAAAAGAUUAUACUCACCCUAUUUUCUGCAUGAAGGAAUACAGUCUCACAAAUAAACCAUCGCUUUUUGAGAUGUGGCAGAGAAACAGCAUUCUCAGUCUACCACUCCCUCAGAGGACUCCAGGAGGAUGUGGAAUUGAUGCAUCAUCCCAGAAGCACUCUAAAGACUACCCGGCAGGACUUUCCAGCAGCCAGAGUGGACAUCCUAUAAAGCCUCGCUUCCCAUCUGGGUCACAAAAAGAUGGAAGAGACUCAGUGCUGUCUGAAAAACUGUGCAGCUCCUGA